This 607-nucleotide ribosomal RNA is filed under the name uncultured bacterium. Its description in RNAcentral is "bacterial SSU rRNA". It matches the Rfam family "Bacterial small subunit ribosomal RNA", at positions 331 to 929 of the family's 1533-position model. The record is from RNAcentral.
CCAGACUCCUACGGGAGGCAGCAGUAGGGAAUCUUCCGCAAUGGGCGAAAGCCUGACGGAGCAACGCCGCGUGAGUGAUGAAGGUCUUCGGAUCGUAAAACUCUGUUAUUAGGGAAGAACAAAUGUGUAAGUAACUAUGCACGUCUUGACGGUACCUAAUCAGAAAGCCACGGCUAACUACGUGCCAGCAGCCGCGGUAAUACGUAGGUGGCAAGCGUUAUCCGGAAUUAUUGGGCGUAAAGCGCGCGUAGGCGGUUUUUUAAGUCUGAUGUGAAAGCCCACGGCUCAACCGUGGAGGGUCAUUGGAAACUGGAAAACUUGAGUGCAGAAGAGGAAAGUGGAAUUCCAUGUGUAGCGGUGAAAUGCGCAGAGAUAUGGAGGAACACCAGUGGCGAAGGCGACUUUCUGGUCUGUAACUGACGCUGAUGUGCGAAAGCGUGGGGAUCAAACAGGAUUAGAUACCCUGGUAGUCCACGCCGUAAACGAUGAGUGCUAAGUGUUAGGGGGUUUCCGCCCCUUAGUGCUGCAGCUAACGCAUUAAGCACUCCGCCUGGGGAGUACGACCGCAAGGUUGAAACUCAAAGGAAUUGACGGGGGCCCGCACAAG